GAUGAACGCUGGCGGCGUGCCUAAUACAUGCAAGUCGAGCGAACAGACGAGGAGCUUGCUCCUCUGACGUUAGCGGCGGACGGGUGAGUAACACGUGGAUAACCUACCUAUAAGACUGGGAUAACUUCGGGAAACCGGAGCUAAUACCGGAUAAUAUAUUGAACCGCAUGGUUCAAUAGUGAAAGACGGUUUUGCUGUCACUUAUAGAUGGAUCCCGGCCGCAUUAGCUAGUUGGUAAGGUAACGGCUUACCAAGGCAACGAUGCGUAGCCGACCUGAGAGGGUGAUCGGCCACACUGGAACUGAGCCACGGUCCAGACUCCUACGGGAGGCAGCAGUAGGGAAUCUUCCGCAAUGGGCGAAAGCCUGACGGAGCAACGCCGCGUGAGUGAUGAAGGUCUUCGGAUCGUAAAACUCUGUUAUUAGGGAAGAACAAAUGUGUAAGUAACUAUGCACGUCUUGACGGUACCUAAUCAGAAAGCCACGGCUAACUACGUG
Molecule: ribosomal RNA, 497 nt
Filed under: uncultured bacterium
Lineage: Bacteria
Description: partial 16S ribosomal RNA
Rfam family: Bacterial small subunit ribosomal RNA
Source: RNAcentral